CCUACGGGUGGCAGCAGUAGGGAAUCUUGCUCAAUGGGGGAAACUCUGACGCAGCAACGCCGCGUGGAGGAUGAAGGUUUUAGGAUUGUAAACUCCUUUUGUAAGAGAAGAUUAUGACGGUAUCUAACGAAUAAGCACCGGCUAACUACGUGCCCGCAGCCGGGGUAAUAAGGAGGGUGCAAGCGUGACUCGGAAUCACUGGGCGGAAAGAUUGCGCAGGCGGGGUAGUAAUACAGAUGUGAAAUGCUGUAGCUUAACUACAGAACUGCAUUUGAAACUGUUACUCUGGAGUGUGGGAGGGGAAGGUGGAAUUCUUGGUGUAGGGGUAAAAUCCGUAGAGAUCAAGAGGAAUACUCAUGGCGAAGGCGACCUGCUGGAACAUUACUGACGCUGAUGCACGAAAGCGUGGGGAGCAAACAGGAUUAGAUACCCGGGUAGUC
Molecule: ribosomal RNA, 440 nt
Filed under: uncultured bacterium
Lineage: Bacteria
Description: partial 16S ribosomal RNA
Rfam family: Bacterial small subunit ribosomal RNA
Source: RNAcentral